GUUUUUACCGCAUUGGAAUAGCCUAUUCGCAGAAGGAGGCCCCUUUUUUGUCUUCCCCUACCGGCACGAUACUGUAACACCCAGGUAUGAGGGCGCCGUUUCGAAGACGCUUUUUUUUGAUAGGAAGCUCUGCGACGUGCUGCCGUCCCUACGUAUCGAUACCGCUGCCGCCUCCGCUGUCCGCUCCCGAACCUCAAGGAUAGCCUCGGUCAAAUGUCCAAAGGAGACGGUCUAGAGUGGCGGCUACUUAGCGACGACUGGCCGCCUCCGUUGGUUUGAAAGCAUACGUGCCGAUGGCUUAGGUCAUAGCCACUACACCCGCUACGCCGCCACUGUACCCUUGAUCUAAACGUCUCGCUUACGUUACCUCACCGAGACAGGCGCGGCUUGAGUCUCGUCAGCUACCCGUUUCUGCUAGGAGUCCGCGGCCCGACCUGGUUCUCUGACGCACAACCCGUACGUGGACUUCAGGACUUCUUGCGGGAGGCACACGACCGUCUUACUCACGAGAACUUUUUUGUAACUCUUCUUUUGACUGACAACAAAGAAACACCGUAAACGUCCCCUAAGGCUUCUUUUCGUUGUGGGCCUGAACGGCCACGUCCACGGGGCGCGAGUAUGCUAACGAGGCUAGUUUCCUGUUACCUACCAUGUAUUCACUCAAGUAUGGUAGUGUGUUGGUAAGCAAUUACCUCUUCACACCGCUCUUCCACAUGAUCGGGAGUGUCUCUGUAUAGCUAUAUAUGUGUACACUACACCAAUUCGUCGAGGCACUUUUAUUGUUAUCGUAACCGUUCCAAAUGUUAUAUUAAACAUCAAAGAAACCAAGUUACAGGUUACACGGUAAGUGGUUUUCUCACAACUCCCCCGAUACACCGUUCUAGUCGGCACUCGUUCGUCUGCUACUACAGUCCUUCUGUUACCUACGAAAACGACUCAACCCUCGUUUUCUAUAACCAGACAUGAUGUCUCACGUCGGCCUACUCCUAUCGGCGUAUGCCUUAAACAAUACCAGUUGACCUAGUUCGUCCCGGGUCAUGGUGAAGAAACCUCUACGUUAUUGUAAACUAUGUUGUAUGGCAUGGCUGGAGAUACUGUACGGUAAACCGGACAAACACCCUCAGUUGUUGGUGAAGGUCUGGUACUAUAAACCACAGCAGGAUCAUUCUCUACUCUAUCAGCUCUGAAAAGUCACCCAAGUGACUUAAGUAGGCGUACUACCCGCCUUUUGUAGGUGUUUGAAACGAAUGUCUAGUUACGUCCAGGUACCUCUAUCGUUACCUCUUUCACUACGGUCUUUGGUGAGUGGCGACCACGUUCACCGUGCACGACUUCUUCCGUUUCCUUAGAGACCCUGGUAUGAUGUGUUUCGCGUUGUUUAAGUCCAGUCUCAAGGUGUUCUAUUAUGUAGUGUACGACUGUGACCUCCUUAAGCUUUGACGUACCUUCGUUGACUGUCUUAGUGUACCGAACCUUUUUGUAGGAAUGGAAUGAGUGUAGAUACUUUGUUCUCGUUUUACCCGAUUUGGUAUGAAGUUUCCCUUCGUUCACUUUUGAUACUCCUCUCUGCGUGUUUUUAACAUCGGGGUCAUAACUUUUACUUGUGUGGUUAUCUCAACGUACGUUCGUCUCAGAUAUGUGCUUGGUACAAGAUUUUUAAACCACUCUAAUAUAUGCCUCGUCCAGUUAUGUCUCAUCUCCUCCACUGAUCUGUCUUUUGGAUGAACCACGUUGCUAUGGUGGGUCUUUUUAUACUCUUCACCACGUCCUAACAGAUGUUUCAUCUUGAACGGCAGCUUCCCUUACUCAACUAUACACUCACAAGAUCAAAGCUUGUGUGUCCAGACGAUACGACGGUAAGUCACUUCCAUUUUUCAUUUAGGGAACCAUGUACUGCGCCGCACUCGCAAUGUGUGUUUGGACAUACUAUACGGUAAACCCGACGAACACUCUCAGUUAUUAGUGAAGGUCUCGUACUAAAAACCACCGCACGAUCAUUCUCUACCCUGUCACCUUUGAAAAGUUACCCACAAGUGACCUAAAUGGGCGUACUACCCGCUGUUUGUAGGUGUUUGGCACGAGUGUCUAGUUACGUUCCGCUACCUUCAUCGUUAUCUCUUUCACUACGGUAUGUGCUGAGUGGCAACGACGUUCACCGUGCACGUUAACCAUUAAAGUACCCCGAUUUUCGAGGUCUUGCUUUUGUUUUCGGGCCAGCUGGUUAGUGAACGUCCCUAUUUGGAGGCAUACUACUAGCACCACGUUUUUCGUUCUUCAUGUAUGACUGUCGUUUACGUGUUCGACCUUUACCUACGCCCUGUUCAUUUGCUUGAGCGAAGAGGUCAUAUACAACUCUUGGUCCCGUGUUCUAGUGGUGUACAGGUGUUACUCCACUAGAAGGAGUUUUUCUUUCCUUUCGCCGUUUUACGAGCUUAACACCGCAGUCACCAGUGUCCUUUUUAUGGACGUCGUUCGGAUCCCAACUUGAGGUACAACAACUUUUACGAUGGAAUCUCGGUUUACGUUAAACGGCCGCUGAAGUAAAUCUAAGUAACAAAAACAAGACACAACAACUCCCGAGACAUCGACAAUUGAAAUUGGCCUUCUGAGAACAACAUUAUUAUUGGCAGUCACUUCAUGCACAACAAACACCAGUCCAACAGCGACACUAAACUUAUAAAUAGUACAUCUUCUUUUUUACAUACUCAAAUUCUGAACGGAUUACAACAUCACACGUACACGUAGAGGGGAAAACAUAAAGUG
RNAcentral lists this ribosomal RNA (2763 nucleotides) under Triticum aestivum (bread wheat). RNAcentral describes it as "partial small subunit ribosomal RNA". Lineage: Eukaryota; Viridiplantae; Streptophyta; Magnoliopsida; Poales; Poaceae. The record is from RNAcentral.